Long non-coding RNA from Drosophila albomicans, 351 nucleotides. RefSeq lists it as uncharacterized. The record is from RefSeq and is a predicted model, not a curated record. NCBI's taxonomy places the organism in Eukaryota, Metazoa, Arthropoda, Insecta, Diptera, Drosophilidae. The transcript has 3 exons.
CUGGGCGGUAGAUGUGGUGUGUAUGAAUGGAUAUAUACGAUUUUGGAAAAUGGUCAUGCAAAAUAGCCAAAUCUGUCUAGAAAAUAGCUAAGUCUGCAACACUGGCUACGAUCAAUGAAGUCUGUGUGCUUCAAUCGCCGGAAAACAACAACAUGAAUCGCACUUACGAAAAUCCCUGCUCCAUUCGGUUCCAUUCUUAUUGUGGUUGUUAUUUGGAAUAUCAUAAAUGGAGCUUAAUUUUAUUACCUUAAACACUUACCACAGACAACAAGUCAACAUGCAUUUCUAUUGAUUUGAUAACUAUGAAUAUGAAAUUGUUGGCUUUGUGCAUCGAUCGCUGUUCGAAAUAUA